UGGCCACAUCAUGUUGAAACACCAGUUCCCAGAUGAUCACCAAAGUUAAGCAAUGUUGAGCCUGGUCAGUACCUAGAUGGGUGACCGCUUGGUAAUAUCAAGUGCUGUAAG
This 111-nucleotide ribosomal RNA is filed under the name Acanthosepion pharaonis. The record is from RNAcentral. Lineage: Eukaryota; Metazoa; Mollusca; Cephalopoda; Sepiida; Sepiidae.